AAGACCAUACUUUCAGGGAUCAUUUCUAUAGUUCACUCAUUACUAGAGAAGUUGUUCUGAACAUGUAGGGGCACGGGAAACCACGACGAGGAGGCACAGUAUUCUCUUCUGAGCUUGAAGCCAGCUCUACUCACUUCACUGCACCUGCCAUUUGCCAUUGAUGAUCAUUCUCUUCCUGAAGGAGAAUGAGAGAGAAAGGAUGCAGUCUGAGUGGUU
Small nucleolar RNA from Aotus nancymaae (Ma's night monkey), 216 nucleotides. NCBI's taxonomy places the organism in Eukaryota, Metazoa, Chordata, Mammalia, Primates, Aotidae. The record is from Ensembl.